CCUACGUGAGGCAGCAGUGGGGAAUAUUGCACAAUGGGGGAAACCCUGAUGCAGCGACGCCGCGUGGGUGAAGGAGUAUUUCGGUAUGUAAAGUCCUAUCAGCAGGGAAGAUAAUGACGGUACCUGACUAAGAAGCCUCGGCCAACUACUGGCCAGCAGCCGCGGUAAUACGGCGGGGGCAAGCGUUAUACGGAUUUACUGGGUGUAGAGGGAUAGUAGACGGCAGCGCAAGCCUGGAGUGAAAGGCUGGGGCCCAACCCCAUGAAUGCUCUGGGAACUGUGCGGCUAGAGUGCCGGAGGGGGAAGCGGAAUUCCUAGUGUAGCGGUGAAAUGCGUAGAUAUUAGGAGGAACACCAGUGGCGAAGGCGGCUUACUGGACGGUAACUGACGUUGAGGCUCGAAAGCGUGGGGAGCAAACAGGAUUAGAUACCCCUGUAGUC
RNAcentral lists this ribosomal RNA (440 nucleotides) under uncultured bacterium. Its description in RNAcentral is "partial 16S ribosomal RNA". It matches the Rfam family "Bacterial small subunit ribosomal RNA", at positions 338 to 795 of the family's 1533-position model. The record is from RNAcentral.